Long non-coding RNA from Quercus lobata, 1005 nucleotides. RefSeq lists it as uncharacterized. The transcript has 4 exons. Lineage: Eukaryota; Viridiplantae; Streptophyta; Magnoliopsida; Fagales; Fagaceae. The record is from RefSeq and is a predicted model, not a curated record.
AAAUUCAAUAUUUCACUGCCCUUAAAAUUCUGUGGAUAGGCUUCAAAGUAAAUUUGGUAGAUUUGCCAGAGUUGUUGGGCAAUAUUUCUUCUCUUCAACAGCUGUAUCUUGUGUAUUGCCCCGACCUGGUGCAUCUGCCCACCAAGGAAGCCAUGCAACGCCUCACCCAAUUGAAAAAGCUGGUGAUUUGGAAUUGCCCCAAAUUUGAACACAAUGAGAGGAUCAAGAUUAGCCACGUUCCAUGGGUUGAAAUCAAUUCUGAAGAGGUGCCAUAUUGCAAAGAUUUCGACUCAGGAGACUGGUGAGAAGUUUGCAUUUGGGAAAAUAUUAAGUUGAUGACAACUGUUGCCAAGGCACUUCAGGGUGUAGUGAUUUAAGUGAUCCCCAGUUCAACUAGUGCAAGCAAAUUUGAACUCACAUUCCUAUAAAGUUUCUGACAACACUGAAGUUGUUGAUGGUUCUACUUCUAAUAUAUUAGUAUAUGGUUUCCACCUUUUGAAGCUCACAAGAAGAUUUCAUCUCGUAAAAUAGUGAACUUGAUGACAAAUGAUGCCAAGGAACUUCAGUUGCACUAUCUACAUUGAAAAUUUUGCAAUACUAAAGUUGCUGUGUAUGAGAGAGAAGAAGAUUUCAGAAAUUUUUUUCUACUAAACCAACUAGUUUCAAGCCAAAAUUGGAAGCUCAUUUUAGUUCCGAUUUUGAUGAAGUUUUAGCAUGUUGUUCCUGAUGAAGAGAGCUUGUAUUGACCAGUGUUGUUGCUCGCUUGAAUGCUAGACACUUGGUGAGAUCUUUUCUUCUUGUUACAGUUGGCAUCCACCUUAUUGCCUACUGUGAUGAAUAACUUUUUGUAAUUCAAGAGUGAUUUUUUUUCCUUGGUAGCCUCUAGCAUUUGUUCUCGAGAAUAUUGUAGCAAACCCAUUUUCUUAGAGAAAAUUUUUAAUGGACUAGGUCCUGUGGUUUUUCCCUUUUCAUUGAAGGGUUUUCCACGUAAAAAUUUGAGGUCUU